UUGCAUAUCCAUAAGCGGAGGAAAGGAAACCAACCGGGAUUGCCUUAGUAACGGCGAGUGAAGCGGCAAAAGCUCAAAUUUGAAAUCUGGUACCUUCGGUGCCCGAGUUGUAAUUUGGAGAGGGCAACUUUGGGGCCGUUCCUUGUCUAUGUUCCUUGGAACAGGACGUCAUAGAGGGUGAGAAUCCCGUGUGGCGAGGAGUGCGGUUCUUUGUAAAGUGCCUUCGAAGAGUCGAGUUGUUUGGGAAUGCAGCUCUAAGUGGGUGGUAAAUUCCAUCUAAAGCUAAAUAUUGGCGAGAGACCGAUAGCGAACAAGUACAGUGAUGGAAAGAUGAAAAGAACUUUGAAAAGAGAGUGAAAAAGUACGUGAAAUUGUUGAAAGGGAAGGGCAUUUGAUCAGACAUGGUGUUUUGUGCCCUCUGCUCCUUGUGGGUAGGGGAAUCUCGCAUUUCACUGGGCCAGCAUCAGUUUUGGUGGCAGAGCUGGGACUGAGGACUGCGACGUAAGUCAAGGAUGCUGGCAUAAUGGUUAUAUGCCGCCCGUCUUGACCC
Molecule: ribosomal RNA, 550 nt
Filed under: Saccharomyces cerevisiae (brewer's yeast)
Lineage: Eukaryota; Fungi; Ascomycota; Saccharomycetes; Saccharomycetales; Saccharomycetaceae
Description: eukaryotic LSU rRNA
Rfam family: Eukaryotic large subunit ribosomal RNA
Source: RNAcentral